CUCGUAGGUGGUCCGUUACAUCUGCUGUGAAAACUCGGGGCUCAACCCCGAGCCUGCAGUGGAUACGGGCGGACUAGAGUGCGGUAGGGGAGACUGGAAUUCCUGGUGUAGCGGUGAAAUGCGCAGAUAUCAGGAGGAACACCGGUGGCGAAGGCGGGUCUCUGGACCGAUACUGACACUGAGGAGCGAAAGCGUGGGGAGCGAACA
This 207-nucleotide ribosomal RNA is filed under the name uncultured bacterium. RNAcentral's name for it is "partial 16S ribosomal RNA". It matches the Rfam family "Bacterial small subunit ribosomal RNA", at positions 568 to 774 of the family's 1533-position model. The record is from RNAcentral.